UACGUAGGGACCAAGCGUUGUUCGGAUUUACUGGGCGUAAAGGGCGCGUAGGCGGCAAUUCAAGUCAUCUGUGAAAUCUCCGGGCUUAACUCGGAACGGUCAGAUGAUACUGCUUUGCUAGAGUGCAGAAGGGGCAAUCGGAAUUCUUGGUGUAGCGGUGAAAUGCGUAGAUAUCAAGAGGAACACCUGAGGUGAAGACGGGUUGCUGGGCUGACACUGACGCUGAGGCGCGAAAGCGUGGGGAGCGAACAGG
RNAcentral lists this ribosomal RNA (253 nucleotides) under uncultured bacterium. RNAcentral describes it as "partial 16S ribosomal RNA". It matches the Rfam family "Bacterial small subunit ribosomal RNA", at positions 524 to 776 of the family's 1533-position model. The record is from RNAcentral.